RNAcentral lists this ribosomal RNA (419 nucleotides) under uncultured bacterium. Its description in RNAcentral is "bacterial SSU rRNA". It matches the Rfam family "Bacterial small subunit ribosomal RNA", at positions 917 to 1338 of the family's 1533-position model. The record is from RNAcentral.
GGGCCCGCACAAGCGGUGGAGCAUGUGGUUUAAUUCGAUGAUACGCGAGGAACCUUACCAGGGCUUAAAUGUUAGGUGACAGAUCUAGAAAUAGAUUUUUCUUCGGACACUUAACAAGGUGCUGCAUGGUUGUCGUCAGCUCGUGCCGUGAGGUGUCAGGUUAAGUCCUAUAACGAGCGCAACCCCUGUUGUUAGUUGCCAGCGAGUAAUGUCGGGAACUCUAGCAAGACUGCCAGUGCAAACUGUGAGGAAGGUGGGGAUGACGUCAAAUCAUCACGGCCCUUAUGUCCAGGGCUGCACGCAUGCUACAAUGGCAAGUACAACGAGUCGCAAUACCGCGAGGUGGAGCAAAUCUCUUAAAGCUUGUCUCAGUUCGGAUAGGAGUCUGCAACUCGACUCCUUGAAGUUGGAGUCGCUAG